Molecule: RNA transcript, 1301 nt
Organism: Gadus morhua (Atlantic cod)
Lineage: Eukaryota; Metazoa; Chordata; Actinopteri; Gadiformes; Gadidae
Gene: marco
Gene name: macrophage receptor with collagenous structure
Exons: 13
Source: RefSeq, a predicted model, not a curated record
UUUUGGUACGUCACAGGAUGGGGUUAUAUCUUAGUGCAGAUGGGCUGGUGGUCAUUCAGAGUUGGAGAGUUCAUAGAGGACCUGCGGCCACAGUCACCUUCCUCUUUACACCAUGCCGAAGAGGAGCGAUAUACUUCACUUUGAGAGUGACGAUGAGCUGGUGGCGAAGCCCAAAGCGCAGCCGUGUUUGAAGGUCAUCAUAGUGGUUCAGGUGCUACUGAGCGUGUUCACCUCUCUCCUGGCCGUCAAAGUGUUCACAAUGAAAGCCCCGGCCCCAGGGGUCAACUCAGAGAAUAUGUUCCCCAUCAGACUAGAAAGCCUCAGGCAGAUUAGCAACUGCAGCCAAGAGAUGGCAUCCCUGAGACACCAUCUCCAAACCCUGCAGACUCAGGUUAAGACCAGACCUCUCUGCCUUGAGCACAAUCUGACUAGUAUGAACUUGCUUCCAGGCCCCCCCGGUCCUAUGGGCCCAGUGGGACCACCAGGUGUACAGGGUACUCCCGGAGAAUCUGUUAUGGGAAAAAGUGGAAGUCCAGGACUACCAGGACAGAAAGGCGAGGAGGGAAUGUUGGGCCAGCGCGGCCCAGUGGGAGAUCCUGGACGUCCUGGAUAUCCAGGAGUCCCAGGAGUAAAAGGUUCCCAGGGUGAGGAGGGAGAUCCCGGAGAGAGGGUGAUGGGCCCUCCAGGCCCCUCAGGGGCCUGGAGGAAUAGCUGGCCCCCCCGGUCCAGUUGGCCCACGAGGCCCCCCAGGUGUACAAGGUGUUCCAGGAGCGUCUGUCAAGGGAGGUUCUGGGUUACAAGGUAUUCCUGGACCAAGAGGAAUAACUGGAUCCAAAGGUGAUAGAGGAUACCCAGGUGGCCGUGGUGCUAUGGGCCUGAAAGGAGAAUCUGGAUCACCAGGGAGGCCUGGACCAGCAGGACAGAGGGGUUCAAGAGGAUAACCUGGUUUGAGGGGAUCUCCAGGAACUAAAUUUGGGUAGGAGACGAAUGAAACUGGUCUACAGCAAUACGAAGUUGGAAAGUACUUAUGUCUGACCGGAAUCUAUCAAACGGGCUUGGCUACACACGUGGACUGACGAACACACAUGUAUACAUCAGACACACGGGCACCAAAUCACAGACACACAGAGACACAGAGGUGACUACUUGUAUCUACAAAUGUACUAUCACUUUGGAUAAAAGCGUCUACUACUUUUCUUCAUCCAUGAACACCAGAUUAUCCGAAUAGCCUUCUAUUGCUGUAAAAGAGCUCUGAGACAGUACAAACGUUGUCCUUUUAAAUAAACAGUUUUUAAAACACA